This 433-nucleotide ribosomal RNA is filed under the name uncultured bacterium. Its description in RNAcentral is "bacterial SSU rRNA". It matches the Rfam family "Bacterial small subunit ribosomal RNA", at positions 29 to 507 of the family's 1533-position model. The record is from RNAcentral.
AGCGAACGCUGGCGGCAGGCCUAACACAUGCAAGUCGAACGGACCCUUCGGGGUUAGUGGCGGACGGGUGAGUAACACGUGGGAACGUGCCCUUUGGUUCGGAACAACACAGGGAAACUUGUGCUAAUACCGGAUAAGCCCUUCGGGGGAAAGAUUUAUUGCCAUUGGAGCGGCCCGCGUUGGAUUAGGUAGUUGGUGAGGUAAAGGCUCACCAAGCCUGCGAUCCAUAGCUGGUCUGAGAGGAUGAUCAGCCACAUUGGGACUGAGACACGGCCCAAACUCCUACGGGAGGCAGCAGUGGGGAAUCUUGCGCAAUGGGCGAAAGCCUGACGCAGCCAUGCCGCGUGAAUGAUGAAGGUCUUAGGAUUGUAAAAUUCUUUCAGCGGGGACGAUAAUGACGGUACCCGCAGAAGAAGCCCCGGCUAACUUCGUG